CGUGAAGAGUGUUAGUGUGAUUUAUUACAAUAGAAUGGCGAAGCAGCACAAGCAGGCAGCACUAUGUAUAUAUUUCAACCAAUAGGGAAAAAAAAAAAAAGAUUUAACAAAAAGCAAAUUACAGUACAAAAAUAUUCCAUAAUUUAUAUUAUUUUUGUAUCAUCAUUCAUCAUCAACACGAUUCUAAGUAGACGUGAAUAAUUUUCAUAAACUAGUAGUGAACAAGACACAAGGUCUCAAACGCACCCAUAAUUCCAAUUUCCAAUUAAGGCUUGAAAUUGGCCAAUAUUUUCAGUAAUUCUGCUACCUAAAUCUCUUCAUGGAACUUGGAUUACAAUUUACAAACAAAAAUGACUUUCUUGAACUUGAACAACUCGAAGUCUCAAAGAAAAAAUGGGCUUCCAUUUUUUAUUUUUCCUUCUUUUUUCACCAAAAUAAUGCGGGUAAGUUAUUUUUUUGUUUUGGAAACUGAAUUUCUUGAAAACGGCAUGUGUAAGAAACUAUCAAAAUUUAGACCUUUCCCUCCAUAGACCACAACCAUCUAAGAACUUAAACAAAAAUCUAACAAUAAACUAUGGGAACUGAAGUAAUAGGAAACGGGUUAUAAUUACAUGAAUAGGAAAUUGAAAUAUUGAAUCCCAAAUUCCAUAUAUAAAAUUGCAGCACAUAAUAGGAAUAAUCUCCUUACAAUUCUAAUGAAUUGCUGUCUUUAGUAGUUUGUGGUGGUAGAAUCGCCGAUGGAGGCAGUCGAACAGUCGGUAGCGACAAUAGGGGUAGAUUAAAUGGCUGAGUUUUGCUUCAACAUUUGGAAUCGGAAGCCGUCAAGCCCGGAGACGAGAUUGAAUUGGAAGUGCGAAGGUUUCUUGCAUUGAAUUUCAAUUUGGUAGUGGAAUAUGGGGAUAGGAAUCUGGGACAGUUUGGAGUCUGUGAAUUGGAAAGUGGGAGGGUUUUUUUUUUUAUUACUCCAUUUUUAUCAUUU
RNAcentral lists this long non-coding RNA (979 nucleotides) under Olea europaea subsp. europaea. Lineage: Eukaryota; Viridiplantae; Streptophyta; Magnoliopsida; Lamiales; Oleaceae. The record is from RNAcentral.